GGUUGAGGUGGUGAUCUCCCUGCUGUUAUUCACUACUCAUCUGUCAGUCAGGAUGCUGCUGUUGGCUCUGCUGCUCUUGACAUCACUGACAGCACAGAGUUCUGAGCAAACAAUAUCAGCUGUGAAUCCAGAAAUGCAUGCGUCAGAGGAAGGGACUGUGUCUAUUGCAUGUAAAUACGACGGCAGCGGUGUUCAGAGUCUUCAGUGGUAUCACGGUUUGCCUGGAUCCAGACCAGAGUAUGCGCUCACCAUCCUUCCGAAUACCAAAACUGUGCUUCAUGCUGACCCUCCAAACUUCAGGCUGAAUGCCACUGUGACGUCUGAUAAAGUUUUCUUGCUGAUCUCCUCUGCAACAAUAUUGGACUCUGCUGUGUACUACUGUGCCCUGCAGCCCACAGUGACAUGAACUCCAACAACCCUGUACAAAAACCCAGAAGCCACCACUGUGUGGUUCACAUUAUAAUGUGU
Molecule: non-coding RNA, 468 nt
Organism: Engraulis encrasicolus (European anchovy)
Lineage: Eukaryota; Metazoa; Chordata; Actinopteri; Clupeiformes; Engraulidae
Source: the annotation of a RefSeq genome assembly